UACGUAGGGAGCAAGCGUUGUUCGGAUUUACUGGGCGUAAAGGGCGCGUAGGCGGCGCGGUAAGUCACUUGUGAAAUCUCUGAGCUUAACUCAGAACGGCCAAGUGAUACUGCAGUGCUAGAGUGCAGAAGGGGCAAUCGGAAUUCUUGGUGUGGCGGUGAAAUGCGUAGAUAUCAAGAGGAACACCUGAGGUGAAGACGGGUUGCUGGGCUGACACUGACGCUGAGUGCGCGAAAGCCAGGGGAGCAAACGGG
RNAcentral lists this ribosomal RNA (254 nucleotides) under uncultured bacterium. RNAcentral's name for it is "partial 16S ribosomal RNA". It matches the Rfam family "Bacterial small subunit ribosomal RNA", at positions 524 to 776 of the family's 1533-position model. The record is from RNAcentral.